This 469-nucleotide ribosomal RNA is filed under the name uncultured bacterium. RNAcentral's name for it is "partial 16S ribosomal RNA". It matches the Rfam family "Bacterial small subunit ribosomal RNA", at positions 28 to 507 of the family's 1533-position model. The record is from RNAcentral.
GACGAACGCUGGCGGCGUGCUUAACACAUGCAAGUCGAACGGAAAGGCCCUGCUUGCCGGGUGCUCGAGUGGCGAACGGGUGAGUAACACGUGGGUGAUCUGCCCCUUACUUUGGGAUAAGCCUGAGAAACUGGGUCUAAUACUGGAUAGGACCAUGCUGUAGGUGGUGUGGUGGAAAGAUUAGUUUCGGUAAGGGAUGAGCUCGCGGCCUAUCAGCUUGUUGGUGGGGUAAUGGCCUACCAAGGCGUCGACGGGUAGCCGGCCUGAGAGGGUGGACGGCCACAUUGGGACUGAGAUACGGCCCAGACUCCUACGGGAGGCAGCAGUGGGGAAUAUUGCACAAUGGGCGCAAGCCUGAUGCAGCGACGCCGCGUGGGGGAUGACGGCCUUCGGGUUGUAAACUCCUUUCAGCCAUGACGAAGCCCUUGUGGUGACGGUAGUGGUAGAAGAAGCACCGGCUAACUACGUG